GACGAACGUUGGCGGCGUGCUUAAUACAUGCAAGUCCACUGAAGCAGUGGUAGCAAUAUCGCUGUGGAGGUGGCGCACGGGUGAGUAACACGUAGGUAAUCUGCCUUCAGGUCUGGCAUAACUCCGGGAAACCGGGGCUAAUAGCAGAUGAUGCAGCGGCUCGACAUCGAGACAGUUGUUAAAGCUAUGGCGCCUGAAGAUGAGCCUGCGUCUGAUUAGCUAGUUGGCGGGGUAACGGCCCACCAAGGCAACGAUCAGUAGCUGGUCUGAGAGGAUGAUCAGCCACACUGGAACUGAGACACGGUCCAGACUCCUACGGGAGGCAGCAGUAAGGAAUAUUGCUCAAUGGGAGAAAUCCUGAAGCAGCAACGCCGCGUGAGGGACGAAGGGCUUUUGCUUGUAAACCUCUGUAGGGAGAGAAAAAAAUCCCAAUCUUUGGGACAUGAUGGUAGCUCAAAAGUAAGCCCCGGCUAACUACGUG
This 481-nucleotide ribosomal RNA is filed under the name uncultured bacterium. RNAcentral describes it as "partial 16S ribosomal RNA". It matches the Rfam family "Bacterial small subunit ribosomal RNA", at positions 28 to 507 of the family's 1533-position model. The record is from RNAcentral.